ACUCCUACGGGAGGCAGCAGUGGGGAAUAUUGCACAAUGGGCGCAAGCCUGAUGCAGCAACGCCGCGUGAGCGAUGAAGGCCUUCGGGUCGUAAAGCUCUGUCCUCAAGGAAGAAUAAAUGACGGUACUUGAGGAGGAAGCCCCGGCUAACUACGUGCCAGCAGCCGCGGUAAUACGUAGGGGCAAGCGUUAUCCGGAAUCACUGGGCGUAAAGGGUGCGUAGGCGGUUUUCAAGUCAGAAGUGAAAGGCUAUGGCUCAACCAUAGUAAGCUUUUGAAACUGUUAAACUUGAGUGCAGGAGAGGAAAGUGGAAUUCCUAGUGUAGAGUGAAAUUCGUAGAUAUUAGGAGGAACACCGAGUGGCGAAGGCGACUUUCUGGACUGUAACUGACGCUGAGGCACGAAAGCGUGGGAGCGAACAGGAUUAGAUACCCUGGUAGACUGUCA
RNAcentral lists this ribosomal RNA (446 nucleotides) under uncultured bacterium. Its description in RNAcentral is "bacterial SSU rRNA". It matches the Rfam family "Bacterial small subunit ribosomal RNA", at positions 335 to 802 of the family's 1533-position model. The record is from RNAcentral.